UAUUGCUCAGGAUGGUCUUGAACUCCUGGGCUCAAGUGAUCCGCCUGCCUUGGCCUCCCAGAAUGCCAGGAUUACAGAUAAACAGCUUGAUGGAUUGCUGAGGCAGAGUGCACCGAGCAAGGGUUCAGUCCUCCAUAGAGCUCAGAGCAAAAGGAAUGACCCAGCCGGGAUGAACUUGAACCUAUGGCCACCUAGCUCUGGUUUCUGCUUGGACAUUUUAUUUCAAUCUUAUGGCCUGCCUUGCGCUCCAAGGGUUACUUAUUUCCUCUGCACAUAUUUUAUUUUGAUGCCAAAAUUUCAGAUCUGUUUUCUUAAGAGCAGAAGGUCUUGACCUCAAAGCCCGGGCCAUCACACAGCUCUCUGUGGAGUGGGGUGAGGGAGGCCAGCUGCCGGUCACCUUCUGCUCCAGCACCGUGGGAGGCCUGAGUGGCAAAGCUCCAGCCCCGCUGCUCCCGGGCGGUGUCCGCAACAAGAGGCUUCCGCCCCAUCCCACCAGCCAUCCACGGAGACGCCCUCCCCAGAGGUCAGGAGGGUAGCGGGGGAAGGAAAUGCCAAUCAAUCCAUCAAAGCCCCGCCCUCCCGGGGCUCCUAGGCCCCGGGAGCUGCGUCUGCGCAUCCUUGACCCACUCCUGGGGGCCAGGAGCUGGGCGAGCCGGGGAAGUGCAUUUGGUAAUGAUUCUCGAUUUCCUGUUUGGUUUCUGUCCAGGGGGCUUUGGGAUAGGCUAACUCGUAUUAUAUGUGUACACAUGCACAUUUC
This 757-nucleotide long non-coding RNA is filed under the name Homo sapiens (human). RNAcentral describes it as "non-protein coding lnc-SLC39A11-1:23". Lineage: Eukaryota; Metazoa; Chordata; Mammalia; Primates; Hominidae. The record is from RNAcentral.